Molecule: ribosomal RNA, 253 nt
Filed under: uncultured bacterium
Lineage: Bacteria
Description: partial 16S ribosomal RNA
Rfam family: Bacterial small subunit ribosomal RNA
Source: RNAcentral
UACGGGGGGAGCAAGCGUUGUUCGGAUUUACUGGGCGUAAAGGGCGCGUAGGCGGCGCGACAAGUCACUUGUGAAAUCUCCGGGCUUAACUCGGAGCGGCCAAGUGAUACUGUCGUGCUAGAGUGCGGAAGGGGCAACUGGAAUUCUCGGUGUAGCGGUGAAAUGCGUAGAUAUCGAGAGGAACACCUGCGGCGAAGGCGGGUCGCUGGGCCGACACUGACGCUGAAGCGCGAAAGCCAGGGGAGCGAACGGG